CUUCACUUCGGUGAGGAGCGGCGGACGGGUUAGUAACGCGUGGGAACAUACCCUUUUCUACGGAAUAGCCUCGGGAAACUGAGAGUAAUACCGUAUACGCCCCUCGGGGGAAAGAUUUAUCGGUGAAGGAUUGGCCCGCGUUAGAUUAGUUAGUUGGUGGGGUAACGGCCUACCAAGACGACGAUCUAUAGCUGGUUUGAGAGGAUGAUCAGCAACACUGGGACUGAGACACGGCCCAGACUCCUACGGGAGGCAGCAGUGGGGAAUCUUAGACAAUGGGCGCAAGCCUGAUCUAGCGAUGCCGCGUGAGUGAUGAAGGCCUUAGGGUCGUAAAGCUCUUUCGCCAGGGAUGAUAAUGACAGUACCUGGUAAAGAAACCCCGGCUAACUCCGUGCCAGCAGCCGCGGUAAUACGGAGGGGGUUAGCGUUGUUCGGAAUUACUGGGCGUAAAGCGUACGUAGGCGGAUCAGAAAGUAAGGGGUGAAAUCCCGAGGCUCAACCUCGGAACUGCCUCUUAAACUCCUGGUCUUGAGUUCGAGAGAGGUGAGUGGAAUUCCAAGUGUAGAGGUGAAAUUCGUAGAUAUUUGGAGGAACACCAGUGGCGAAGGCG
Molecule: ribosomal RNA, 610 nt
Filed under: Sulfitobacter mediterraneus
Lineage: Bacteria; Pseudomonadati; Pseudomonadota; Alphaproteobacteria; Rhodobacterales; Roseobacteraceae
Description: bacterial SSU rRNA
Rfam family: Bacterial small subunit ribosomal RNA
Source: RNAcentral